AGAAUUAAUAAUAUUUGUGAAAUUUCAACAAACAACAAUAAUCAUACAAUCAAUAAUUAAAAAUUA
This 66-nucleotide unclassified non-coding RNA is filed under the name soil metagenome. RNAcentral describes it as "partial internal transcribed spacer 1". The record is from RNAcentral.